ACUCCCACUUACACUUGGUGUGCA
Molecule: non-coding RNA, 24 nt
Filed under: Gossypium hirsutum (cotton)
Lineage: Eukaryota; Viridiplantae; Streptophyta; Magnoliopsida; Malvales; Malvaceae
Source: RNAcentral